Hippocampus zosterae (dwarf seahorse) is the source of this 472-nucleotide long non-coding RNA. RefSeq lists it as uncharacterized. The record is from RefSeq and is a predicted model, not a curated record. The transcript has 3 exons. NCBI's taxonomy places the organism in Eukaryota, Metazoa, Chordata, Actinopteri, Syngnathiformes, Syngnathidae.
GGGGUCACUCUUGAUCUGGUUGGACGGGAAAUCGAGAUUGGCGUCGGUCAAGCACGCUGUGCUCCCUCCUGAGAAACUGCCCUGCAUCUGGCGACAUGAACGUAAACCUUCAUCAUCAAAUCUCAGCGGUCGUUCAGCUCAUCUCAAAAGGACCCUGUUGAAGAAGACCACGCUGAGCACCAGGGUGAGGGUCUGCACCACCACGGCGGCCAGCGCCAGCAGCCAGAAGCACUGCGGGGAACCCCAGGAAGCGCUCAUGUCGAUGUCUCACCACCAAAGAGGAAAAUGAGGAGGAGGGGGAAAAGAGAGAAGAGCAUAGAAAAGGCGGAGGAGGAAGGGGAGUGUUGGGGGGCUUGCCUGCCCUAUUGUGCUUCCAGUCCAGCGAGGGCAGUACAUCAACAACCUUCAUCAUCAUCAUCAUCAUCAUCAUCAUGAAAAACGGGCUUCCUCUUAUUGUUGCAGUGAUCUCCGA